UCUCUGCUGACUGCAACGGGCACAGGAUCAGUCCCUUGCCCUUAUACCUCUUUAACUAUCCCACUCAUAACGCUGUCAUCAUGAGCUUAAGGAUGUGGCCUCGAAGGAGAGAAGAAAUGUCUUUGAAGCAAUGAAAUAUAUCUAAGAUUCUGGAUAUCUGCCAUUUUAAAACCCUGAGCCAAGCACACACAGCCUUAGCAGCAGGUUGACAGUUUGGAAGCAAGGAGCAAACAGAGGAAAAAAAAUCCUACCAUGCAUCCUCCCUGUCUCACUCCCUCUGAUUCCAGGCAUUUUGGGUGCAUUGAGCCACAUCCCCAUGCCCAGCCCGUCAGGCAGCCCCUGUGUCUGCAGCCAUGCUGGAGCCUGCCCAUCGUGCCGCCAAUCCCUGAACCCUCCUGGAAACCAGCUCCAGGGGUUGGUGCUUGCUGCUGCACAUAUCUGAGGAAGAGAAAACAUGUGGGCUCAGGUUCAGGGUGCUGGAGAGGCUGAGCAGUCAGAGGGAUUGCUCCCAGGAGCAGGGAGCAGUCGGCAAAGCGGCAGCGCUUCCCCCAGAGCAGGGUGGAUGUCAUGCCUGUUUCUCCCCAAAAGCAAACUGACUGGAAAUACUAAAAAGUUUUUGCAAUCCUAUUGGUCCUGCCGAGGAAGCCUGACUGGCAGGACAAUACAUCUUUGUUCUCAAUUAAAGCCAUUAUUUGGGUGCAAUAAUCAUUUAAAAGCCAAGAGGAAUAAGAUUUUUGUGAUUAUAACCACAAAUUGUCAAUUGAAGCGAAUGUUUUAAACAAUCAAGGUUUGGUAGAGAAAGAAGAGAGCGGGAAUAAUAACAACCUCUACUAUGACUCCGUGUAGCCUUCAUCCAGCCAGUACAAUUUUACUUGCAUUCUGAAAUCAAUGCACCAUAAUCACAAACCAAAAUCGUGACUGUAGUAAAAACCCACAUACGACACGAGCAGAUGUGGAGGGAUUCCGUCAGGACUUUACAUUACUGGAUACUAACUGACUGCCUAGAGUCUUCUCCUUCCAAAUCCCACACAAGACAAAUGGUACAUUUCUAGAAUCCUUUAGUCUUUGCCAACAACUAACUAAACAAAUAAGCAGUGGAUAAGGAAGCUCAGCUAUUACCUGCUAUUGCACAUCUAUGACAGCCCAAGAGAAAAGACCACCAGCUCCAGCCUCCUUACUAGGUUUAUUUCAAGGAUGCAGCUGGAAUGUGGAACUGGAGGGGACAGAGCCAAACAAGCUUGACAGAAGAGGGAAAGCAGCUGAUGGAAGGAUGAAGGCCAAGGUGAAUGGUUUCUCUUCCUCUCCUGACUUACUCAUCAGUUUGCACUUCAGCCUAGAGAGCAGCCCCAGACUGUUUGAGCUGGGCAAGGGGAAGGACUAGAUCCCUGUGCUGAAAGUGAACCUGUUAGGAUCUGCCUUUACCUCUCAGGAUGUCCAAACAUGAUCACAUCCAACUUCAGGCAUUUUUACACUGGUUUGAAAAACAGAUCAUUCCCAACUGGUAAUGACAGCUCAGCAUAUUGAAAACAUUGGUCAGUAAUAUAUUGCAAUAAUGCAACUGCAAAGACAGCUCUGUGAGGAACAUAUUCCACCCUUGGUUUGCUAGAAAAUAUUUGUUUGCAGUACUAAACCUGUAUCUAGUGAGGAAAAAAGAACUCUCUUAUUCCAGUAUUUGAAGAGUUAGGCAACUGGUGAAGUCUAAAUACCAUCAUUCUCUAGAUUUAUCACUGGAAUUUCUAUUGCAAUUAAUGUUUAUUCAAUAUACUGCGUGAUACUAGCUAAAAAAAAAAAUCAACAUUCAUAAAUAGAUUUUUGAGUUAGAGAAACACUAACAUUCUGAGCUAAUACAGAAUUCAUACCCAAAAAUUUUUUCAAAAUUUGGGUAACUUCAUUCCAAGUACUAGAGCUGGGAAUGUUUGUCACCCAAAGCAAAAUUUUUUGUCAAGCUCUUAAGCCUCUGCAAAUAUGAUUUAAAAUAGAAGCUGAAAGAGAAAGUCCAUGAAGUGCAGAAAAAUAAAGAGAAGCAAUAUUUUAGAUCUAAAACUAAAGUUACAUUUCUCAUUACUUUUGUGAGUCACAACAUUAAUAUGGAAUGGUCUCAACAGUUCAAUUGUACUCGAGCUCUAAAAUUAGAUAAAUGUCCUAGGAAUUUCCAGAAAUCUUUGAAAAAAUAAAUUAAAAAGUAUUUCCUGCCCAACCUCCACCAAAACCAUUCUGCAUGAAAUGAAUUAACAUUACAAAAAAAAUCAAGACUUUCGUUCUCUGGUAGUUCUAUCAAACAGAAUUCAACACACGAUGACAACAACAUGAAAAUACCAAACACUUCUGGGACCAUUCUUCCAUUAGUAUCUUGAAAAGACAUUUUAUAACUUUUAUGUGAACUUUAAUGUAUUCAAAUGUGACUUCCUAAAUUUUUCUUAAUGUUUCAUUUCACUGAAAUUUAUAUUUAAGCUAUAAACACUAUUUUAUUUUAUACCUAACAACAAUCAGUUUACCAUAACUGAGACUAGGAAGGUGAAUUGAGAGGAAGGUAGGAAGUGGGAAAAAAGUAGCAACUGUAAAUUCAGUUUCCAAAUGUAGAAUUACUAUGUUCCUUCCUGUACGGAGUACUGCAUUUUCUUAGUCUUUAUUUUCAUGUUAAAAAAGACAAAAGAUUACUGUAGUCUGAAAAAUGUUAUUCCAGGUAAACUUAAAGAAUAUGAAUCACAUAACACUGAAAUAUGAACAUAAUAGCUGAAAUUACUUCUCUUCAUACAUAAAAGAAAGUCCUGAGGCUGCACCUUCAGUGAUUUAGUCAACUGUAUAUGAUUUAUGAACAAUUUUUUAAAUUACAGAGUCCAUAAACCUGCUCCUCCUCAAACUAGAGAGGCAGCAACGGGGUUUGCUCAUUUAUUAAGGACCAUUCACCUCACUAUUCAUUCUUAUAGAGCCCCUUUUUGGUUGCUAUGGGCCAAAAUUUUUUAUUUCACCAUUUGGAAAAUAUAUAAAAGGGGCAUUGCCAGGACUGAGGUAUUCCUGACUAAAUCUUAUAAACGUGGUGUGAAAGACUAUUACUCAUCAUAUUUACUCUUUCAGCAUGGUGGUAGACGCACAGAAAACUGCCCUGGAAAUUAAGAACCUGGAAGACCACUCUGUAGACCAUAGUCAAGCAGGCUCCAGAGCUGAUGCUGAUCACUAAGUCACAGAAUACAAUCAAGACCAAUAAAACCAAGAAAUGUCAAAUUUUACUGGCAAAAAUUAGAAAAAAAAAUUUCCUUUGCUUGGCUUUUCAGUUUACUCAUUAAAUUUAAGCCUUUAAAUUUAUUCCUUGGAAAUCAGAAAGCUUUUAAACUGCACACUUUGGAAUUAAUAGCACAAGUAAUUGCCAAAUGUCACAACAAAUGGCAGUUCCAUGUUCACAAAGAUUAUGCAUUGUGGUGGAGGCUGCUUUAUAGGUGAGCUUAGAAGUAUUUCAAAGAGGAGCUUGUAGGUUCUUGCUGUACAAGAGUAACAUUUUUGUUAAUGGAAGGGAAUCAAGCAGAAUAUAGAAGGCACUGGCAGAACAAGAGGUGCUGAUUUUUGCAGCAACAAAGCAGAAAAUGUAAGCAAGGUAUAAUGAUUCAAGGUGGAGAGAAGCUGGAAUGGUGAAGAAGCCUGUGGAUCUGGGUGGCAACAUUGAAAAAAUUAUUUCUAAAAACUGAUGAAACUUCAUAAUCUCUGAGAAAAUCUUCGUUUAACCAGUUACUGUUAUUCAAUAUUUUAUGUGUUAGGAAAUUUUGGAGAUUUUUGUUUUGAAUUUGUGUGGGGGUUUUUUUGUUUGUUUGUUUUUCAUUUAAAUUGACAAUAAAAUGACCUUUUUUUUUUUUGUGGAAUACAGAUAAGAUUUUUACAAAUGUUACUUAUGUUUGAAGCGAUAUAUUGCACUUCCCGUGACCUUCUAAGCACUUAAUAUUUCACAAUUAACCAAAUAGUUUAGAUUUCCACAUGCAAUGUUUGUUUCCUUUCUAGUCAGAACUGACGAGCAAUAACUACAAAUGUUAAACGCCCUAUAGAUAUUUUUUCUUAUUUAUUUUCUCUUUUUUUGGUUCUUUAAAGAAACUUCUCCCUUCAAACAGUGUGAAUCCCUUAAUAAUUAGGUGGAAGAUGUUUUCAUACAAAGAUAUAUAGAAGCAAACUGUACAUGAGAAUAUAUAAAAGCCUUCCUUA
Haemorhous mexicanus (house finch) is the source of this 4185-nucleotide long non-coding RNA. RefSeq lists it as uncharacterized. The transcript has 4 exons. The record is from RefSeq and is a predicted model, not a curated record. NCBI's taxonomy places the organism in Eukaryota, Metazoa, Chordata, Aves, Passeriformes, Fringillidae.